CGAGAAGCUUCCGCAAUGGGCGAAAGCCUGACGGAGCGACGCCGCGUGAGUGAAGAAGGCCCUAUGGGUUGUAAAAACUCUGUCAGAUUGGGAAAGAAAAUUCCACGGUUAACACCCGUGAAACUUGACGGUA
This 133-nucleotide ribosomal RNA is filed under the name uncultured bacterium. Its description in RNAcentral is "partial 16S ribosomal RNA". It matches the Rfam family "Bacterial small subunit ribosomal RNA", at positions 356 to 477 of the family's 1533-position model. The record is from RNAcentral.